UACGGGGGGGGCAAGCGUUGUUCGGAAUUACUGGGCGUAAAGGGUUCGUAGGUGGCCAACUAAGUCGGACGUGAAAUCCCUCAGCUUAACUGGGGAACUGCGUCUGAUACUGGUUGGCUUGAGUGCAGGAGAGGAACGCGGAAUUCCAGGUGUAGCGGUGAAAUGCGUAGAUAUCUGGAGGAACACCGGUGGCGAAGGCGGCAUCCUGGACCAAUAUUGACGCUGAGGAGCGAAAGCUAGGGGAGCAAACGGG
RNAcentral lists this ribosomal RNA (253 nucleotides) under uncultured bacterium. RNAcentral describes it as "partial 16S ribosomal RNA". It matches the Rfam family "Bacterial small subunit ribosomal RNA", at positions 524 to 776 of the family's 1533-position model. The record is from RNAcentral.